Prunus persica (peach) is the source of this 1158-nucleotide RNA transcript. It is a transcript of the gene named transcription termination factor MTERF15, mitochondrial, with no coding region annotated. The transcript is spliced from 2 exons. NCBI's taxonomy places the organism in Eukaryota, Viridiplantae, Streptophyta, Magnoliopsida, Rosales, Rosaceae. The record is from RefSeq and is a predicted model, not a curated record.
UCCAGCCUUAGCUGCUGGAAAUGCUCUUAACAGUCCAGCUUCUUCCCUCAGCUAUUUGUAGAGCAAAACCCUUAAAAGGCCCCCUUCUACCUGUACAGGACAGGAGUGAUGGUCGCCAAUUUUUGUUUGGGAUUAUUGAUGAAUGAAUAUGAUUCCAGCUACAGCUACAGAAGCAUCAAUUUUGUAAGAGGUUGGCGGUGGGCUCGUUAUGCUGCUCUCUGUGCACCGCAUUUUAGAAGACCAUUUUCAUCAAAAACGUUGUUAGAAUCUGGAAAAGAUAAAGCAGAAGAACAAGAACGUUCUUUUACAGUGUCUUAUCUCGUUAGUUCGUUUGGGGUAUUUUAGGUAAUAGGAUGCAAAGCAAUGUUGCUCAAAAUCUCUCAGUCUUGAGAGCACUUGAAGUGCCACAAUCCUCUAUUUCCGUACGGGUGAGCUGUCACCCUAGCGUGGUAUGCCAAAAACCGGAGAACUUCAACAAAGAUGUGGAGGAGGUUAUCAGUUUGGGAUUCAACCCUACGACAUUAGCAUUUGUCAAUGGACUCCAAGUGAGUUCGAAAAUGACUAAAUCAACAUGGGAACACAAAAAGGAGGUUUACAGGAGGUGGGGCUGGACUGAAGAUGAGAUCUUGUUGGCUUUUAGGAAGAAACCCACUUGUAUGUAUUUGUCAGAAAAGAAUAUUGUAAGUAAAAUGGAUUUUCUUGUAAACAAGAUGGGGUGGCAGCCUGCAGAUCUGGCCAGAGUUCCUGGGGUUCUAACUCUUAGUCUAGAGCAGAGAAUCAUUCCAAGGUGUUCUGUCAUUAGAGUUCUGAUGGCGAAGGGCUUGCUGAAGAAAAAGUUUACCCUAUCUUCAUUGUUGAUAACCAUUGACAGUUACUUUAUUAGUAGGUUUGUGAUAAACUAUCAAGAAACUGUGCCUCGACUGUUGGAUAUCUUUCAAGGGAAAUUAAGUCUUCAAGAACUUGACUUUCAAUUUGAGGAAAAAUGAAUGCCAAAAAACUUGUAGAAUCAAACACAACUAGUUCAUUGGUGCCUUCAGGAAAUUGGCCUUUGGAGGAAAAAUGAGGGCCAAAAAAUUGUAGCAUCAAGCACAAAUACAUUUAUGCACAAUUCCCCUUUUUCGCUGCUAAUUUAAGUACGUCGAUUCUCAAUUGUUUUUA